This 547-nucleotide ribosomal RNA is filed under the name uncultured bacterium. Its description in RNAcentral is "bacterial SSU rRNA". It matches the Rfam family "Bacterial small subunit ribosomal RNA", at positions 355 to 896 of the family's 1533-position model. The record is from RNAcentral.
UAGGGAAUUUUUCACAAUGAGCGAAAGCUUGAUGGAGCAAUGCCGCGUGAACGAUGAAGGUCUUUAAGAUUGUAAAGUUCUUUUAUUUGGGAAGAAUGACUUUAGCGGGUAAUGGCUAGAGUUUGACUGUACCAUUUUGAAUAAGUGACGACUAACUAUGUGCCAGCAGUCGCGGUAAUACAUAGGUCGCAAGCGUUAUCCGGAUUUAUUGGGCGUAAAGCAAGCGCAGGCGGAUUGAAAAGUCUGGUGUUAAAGGCAGCUGCUUAACAGUUGUAUGCAUUGGAAACUAUUAAUCUAGAGUGUGGUAGGGAGUUUUGGAAUUUCAUGUGGAGCGGUGAAAUGCGUAGAUAUAUGAAGGAACACCAGUGGCGGAGGCGAAAACUUAGGCCAUUACUGACGCUUAGGCUCGAAAGUGUGGGGAGCAAAUAGGAUUAGAUACCCUAGUAGUCCACACCGUAAACGAUAGAUACUAGCUGUCGGGGCGAUCCCCUCGGUAGUGAAGUUAACACAUUAAGUAUCUCGCCUGGGUAGUACAUUCGCAAGAAUG